CCCUUAGAUGUUCUGGGCUGCACGCGUGCUACACUGAUAUUGCCAAUAUGUCAUUCUUAUCCGAAAUGGAUUGGGUAAUCAAGUAAUGAAAUUUCAUGCUUGGAAUUGGUAAUUGCAAUUUUAUCGUGAACGAGGAAUUCCUAGUAAGCACUAGUCAUCAGCUAAUGUUGAUUAUGUCCCUGCCCUUUGUACACACCGCCCGUCGCUACUACUGAUUGGGUGUUCAAGUGAGAUGCUUAGACCCUUGUUGCAUGGUUCAUUAUUGUGCUCCGAAAGGAAAAAGUUUCAAGCUUGAGUGUCUAGAGGAAGUAAAAGUCGUAACA
RNAcentral lists this ribosomal RNA (323 nucleotides) under uncultured eukaryote. RNAcentral's name for it is "partial 18S ribosomal RNA". It matches the Rfam family "Eukaryotic small subunit ribosomal RNA", at positions 1470 to 1796 of the family's 1831-position model. The record is from RNAcentral.